CCUAACACAUGCAAGUCGAACGAGAAAGGGUAGCAAUACCUGAGUAAAGUGGCGCACGGGUGAGUAACACGUGACUAACCUACCCUGGAGUGGGGGAUAACUAAGAGAAAUCUUGGCUAAUACCGCAUAAUACCUACGGGUCAAAGGAGCAAUUCGCUUCAGGAGGGGGUCGCGGCCGAUUAGUUAGUUGGCGGGGUAAUGGCCCACCAAGACAGUGAUCGGUAUCCGGCCUGAGAGGGCGCACGGACACACUGGAACUGAAACACGGUCCAGACUCCUACGGGAGGCAGCAGUGGGGAAUUUUGCGCAAUGGGGGAAACCCUGACGCAGCAACGCCGCGUGGAGGAUGAAGUACUUCGGUACGUAAACUCCUUUCGAUCGGGACGAUAAUGACGGUACCGGAAGAAGAAGCCCCGGCUAACUUCGUGCCAGCAGCCGCGGUAAUACGAGGGGGGCGAGCGUUGUUCGGAAUUAUUGGGCGUAAAGGGUGCGUAGGCGGUUUGGUAAGUCUUAUGUGAAAUCUAUGGGCUCAACUCAUAGACUGCAUGAGAAACUGC
Molecule: ribosomal RNA, 557 nt
Filed under: uncultured bacterium
Lineage: Bacteria
Description: bacterial SSU rRNA
Rfam family: Bacterial small subunit ribosomal RNA
Source: RNAcentral